Molecule: ribosomal RNA, 781 nt
Filed under: Pithecopus hypochondrialis (orange-legged leaf frog)
Lineage: Eukaryota; Metazoa; Chordata; Amphibia; Anura; Hylidae
Description: partial large subunit ribosomal RNA
Rfam family: Bacterial large subunit ribosomal RNA
Source: RNAcentral
UAAAACAUUUUACAGUUAUAGUAAAGGCGAUUGAAACAUCUUUUUGGAGUAAUAUUUCUAGUACCGCAAGGGAACAAUGAAAUAAAAAUGAAAUAACUAUCAAGCACCUAGUAGUAGAGACCUCCCCUCGUACCUUUUGCAUCAUGAUUUAACUAGUUUAUCCAAGCAUAAUGCACUAAAGUUUGCCCCCCCGAAACUAAGCGAGCUACUUCGAGGCAGUUCCAGGAACUAACCCAUCUCUGUAGCAAAAGAGUGGGAAGACCUUCAAGUAGAGGUGACAGACCUAACGAGCUUAGUGAUAGCUGGUUACUUGAGAAAAGGAUCUUAGUCCGACCCAACUUUUACAAAAUACACCUAAAUAAAAACUAAAAUUUGGAGUAAUUCAAAUAAGGUACAGCCUAUUUGAAUCAGGAUACAACCUUUUUAAAUGGGUAAUUAAACUUUUAUGUAAUAAAGUAGGCCUAAGAGCAGCCAUCUUCAAAAAGCGUCAAAGCUUAUUCACUAAUCAACUUAAUCCCCCUAAUUUUUAAAACCCCUUAAUCUCUAUUAAGUAACUCUAUAAAAUUAUAGAACCUAUUAUGUUAAAACUAGUAACAAGAAUAAGAACUUCUCUUUAAUGCAAGUGUAGAUCAGGCUGGACAAACCACUGAUUCUUAACACUUUGAAGCCAGAGUAAUAACCUACCAAGAAAAUCUUACUUCACUAAAUGUUAACCUGACACAAGAGCAUUCUCAGACAGAUUAAAAGGAAUAGAAGGAACUCGGCAAAUAUUAACCUCGCC